Molecule: ribosomal RNA, 456 nt
Filed under: Triticum aestivum (bread wheat)
Lineage: Eukaryota; Viridiplantae; Streptophyta; Magnoliopsida; Poales; Poaceae
Description: partial small subunit ribosomal RNA
Source: RNAcentral
AUGAACAUAUUGGCCUGGAACUGUCAAGGAUUGGGGUUGGACUCGACAGUGGGCGAAUUACGAGACCUGAUACGGUCCCACAACCCAGCGGUGGUGUUUUUAUGUGAAACAAAAAAGAAGGCGCGAGCAAUGGAAAGACUCAAGUGGAGUUUAGGCUUUACUUCGGGUGUAGCAGUGGAUUGCAAGGGCCGUAGUGGCGGUCUAGCCCUUUGGUGGAGAGAUCAUGUGCAAGUAACAGUGAGACCGUGGUGCCAAUAUUUCAUCGAUGCAGUGGUGUCUGUCGAGGGGAAGACUUGUACGAUCACUGGAUUCUACGGGGAACCUCGAACGGAGCUUCGAAAAAAAUCAUGGGACGCGAUUCGUUACCUCAAAGCUCAAGACGAUAACCCAUGGAUCUGUCUAGGUGAUUUUAAUGAAGCUUUAUUUCAGACCGAUCAACGUGGAGGUAACCUCUGA